AUUGAACGCUGGCGGCGUGCUUAACACAUGCAAGUCGAGCGGUAACAGGUGUAGCAAUACAUGCUGACGAGCGGCGAACGGGUGAGUAAUGCUUCGGAAUCUACCCAAUGGCGGGGAAUAACUAGCCGAAAGGUUAGCUAAUACCGCAUAAGCCCUACGGGGGAAAGCAGGGGAUCGUAAGACCUUGCACCGAUGGAUGAGCCGAAGUCGGAUUAGCUAGUUGGUAGGGUAACGGCCUACCAAGGCGACGAUCCGUAGCUGGUCUGAGAGGACGACCAGCCACACUGGGACUGAGACACGGCCCAG
RNAcentral lists this ribosomal RNA (306 nucleotides) under uncultured bacterium. Its description in RNAcentral is "bacterial SSU rRNA". It matches the Rfam family "Bacterial small subunit ribosomal RNA", at positions 30 to 334 of the family's 1533-position model. The record is from RNAcentral.